RNAcentral lists this ribosomal RNA (260 nucleotides) under uncultured Planctomycetota bacterium. RNAcentral describes it as "uncultured planctomycete partial 16S ribosomal RNA". It matches the Rfam family "Bacterial small subunit ribosomal RNA", at positions 574 to 831 of the family's 1533-position model. The record is from RNAcentral. Lineage: Bacteria; Pseudomonadati; Planctomycetota.
GGUGGGUUUGUAAGUCCGUCUGUGAAAUCCCUCGGCUUAACCGAGGAACUGCAGCGGAUACUGCAGGACUGGAGUUCAGGAGGGGAGAGUGGAAUUCCUGGUGGAGCGGUGAAAUGCGUAGAUAUCAGAAGGAACGCCGGCGGCGAAAGCGAUUCUCUGGCCUAUUACUGACACUCAGUGUGCGAAAGCUAGGGGAGCAAACGGGAUUAGAUACCCCGGUAGUCCUGGCCCUAAACGAUGGGCACUAAGUAGAGGGGUUU